This 1506-nucleotide ribosomal RNA is filed under the name Geodermatophilaceae bacterium URHA0031. RNAcentral's name for it is "bacterial LSU rRNA". It matches the Rfam family "Bacterial large subunit ribosomal RNA", at positions 1440 to 2925 of the family's 2925-position model. Lineage: Bacteria; Bacillati; Actinomycetota; Actinomycetes; Geodermatophilales; Geodermatophilaceae. The record is from RNAcentral.
GGGACCCGGACUGGUAGUAGGCAAGCGAUGGGGUGACGCAGGAAGGUAGUCCUACCGGUGAGUGGUAGUACCGGUGCAAGGGUGUGGCCCGUCCGAUAGGUAAAUCCGUCGGGCAUGUGGGUGAGGCCUGACGCAUAGCCGAAUGAGGCGAAUUGGAUGAUCCUAUGCUGCCGAGAAAAGCCUCUAGCGAGUUCUUAGCGGCCCGUACCCCAAACCAACUCAGGUGGUCAGGUAGAGAAUACCAAGGCGAUCGAGCGAACUGUGGUUAAGGAACUCGGCAAAAUGCCCCCGUAACUUCGGGAGAAGGGGGGCCAUUCACCGUCAACACCUUCACGGUGGGUAGCGGUGGGUGGUCGCAGAGACCAGUGAGAAGCGACUGUUUACUAAAAACACAGGUCCGUGCGAAGUCGAAAGACGAUGUAUACGGACUGACGCCUGCCCGGUGCUGGAACGUUAAGGGGACGGGUUAGCUCUUCGGGGCGAAGCUCAGAACUCAAGCGCCAGUAAACGGCGGUGGUAACUAUAACCAUCCUAAGGUAGCGAAAUUCCUUGUCGGGUAAGUUCCGACCUGCACGAAUGGCGUAACGACUUCUCAGCUGUCUCAACCACAGGCUCGGCGAAAUUGCACUACGAGUAAAGAUGCUCGUUACGCGCGGCAGGACGGAAAGACCCCGGGACCUUCACUAUAGCUUGAUAUUGGUGUUCGGUUCGGUUUGUGUAGGAUAGGUGGGAGACUGUGAAGCGGGCACGCCAGUGUUCGUGGAGUCGUCGUUGAAAUACCACUCUGGUCGAAUUGGAUGUCUAACCUCGGUCCGUGAUCCGGAUCAGGAACAGUGUCAGGUGGGUAGUUUAACUGGGGCGGUUGCCUCCCAAAAUGUAACGGAGGCGCCCAAAGGUUCCCUCAGCCUGGUUGGCAAUCAGGUGUCGAGUGCAAGUGCACAAGGGAGCUUGACUGCGAGACCGACGGGUCGAGCAGGAGCGAAAGCUGGGACUAGUGACCCGGCACCGGCAUGUGGAAGCGGUGUCGCUCAACGGAUAAAAGGUACCCCGGGGAUAACAGGCUGAUCUUCCCCAAGAGUCCAUAUCGACGGGAUGGUUUGGCACCUCGAUGUCGGCUCGUCGCAUCCUGGGGCUGGAGUAGGUCCCAAGGGUUGGGCUGUUCGCCCAUUAAAGCGGUACGCGAGCUGGGUUUAGAACGUCGUGAGACAGUUCGGUCCCUAUCCGCCGUGCGCGUAAGAGACUUGAGAAGAGCUGUCCCUAGUACGAGAGGACCGGGACGGACGAACCUCUGGUGUGCCAGUUGUUCCGCCAGGAGCACUGCUGGUUGGCUACGUUCGGCAGGGAUAACCGCUGAAAGCAUCUAAGCGGGAAGCUCGCUUCAAGAUGAGGUCUCUCACCGGGUGAACCGGGUAAGGCCCCCGCCCAGACCAGCGGGUUGAUAGGCCGGAGGUGGAAGCGCAGCAAUGCGUGGAGCUGACCGGUACUAAUAGGCCGAGGGCUUGACCA